Molecule: ribosomal RNA, 163 nt
Filed under: uncultured bacterium
Lineage: Bacteria
Description: partial 16S ribosomal RNA
Rfam family: Bacterial small subunit ribosomal RNA
Source: RNAcentral
AAUCGCGAAUCAGCAUGUCGCGGUGAAUACGCUCCCGGGCCUUGUACACACCGCCCGUCACACCAUGAGAGUUGGCAAUACCCAACGUACGUGAUCUAACCCGCAAGGGAGGAAGCGUCCUAAGGUAGGGUCAGCGAUUGGGGUGAAGUCGUAACAAGGUAAC